CAAUAGUGUAUAUUAAAGUUGUUGCAGUUAAAAAGCUCGUAGUUGGAUUUCUGGCUCGGUUUGCUUUGUCCGCGUUCCAAAAGGGAUGUGUGUACGUUGCGAACGAGUCACAAUUUCCAGAGGUUGCGUCCGCUCUUGAUUGAGUCGGUCGUGUACGUCUGGAUCGUUUACUUUGAGAAAAUUAGAGUGUUCAAGGCAGGCAUGAGUUGCCGUGAAUAUGUUAGCAUGGAAUAAUAAGAUAGGACUUUGGUCGUAUUUUGUUGGUUUCUACAGCCGAAGUAAUGAUUGAUAGGGACGGUUGGGGGUGCUAGUAUUCUGCGGCCAGAGGUGAAAUUCUGUGAUUCGCGGAGGACUGACUUAUGCGAAAGCAUUCACCAAGGACGUCUUCUUUA
RNAcentral lists this ribosomal RNA (392 nucleotides) under uncultured eukaryote. RNAcentral describes it as "partial 18S ribosomal RNA". It matches the Rfam family "Eukaryotic small subunit ribosomal RNA", at positions 592 to 975 of the family's 1831-position model. The record is from RNAcentral.